This 19255-nucleotide long non-coding RNA is filed under the name Triticum aestivum (bread wheat). Its description in RNAcentral is "long non-coding RNA (TAES_LNC003779)". The record is from RNAcentral. Lineage: Eukaryota; Viridiplantae; Streptophyta; Magnoliopsida; Poales; Poaceae.
AACAAGCCUCUCCUUCGGGUGAUGCCUUCUUUGGGGUGGCCUUUCUGCGAGCGUCCGUGCGUGCGUGUCCAUGAAUAAACCUCAGCUUGUCUCGGCAAGCUAGGUGCGAGUCCCUUCUUUGUUUUUUGUAUGAUUAUUGCCAGUGUUUGUUUCUUGUUGGGUUCGUCCUCAGAGUUGCUGCGAGAUUUAUGGGAUUAUCCCAGUCAAUCCUUCUGUCAUGUAAGAUUUUAUUUUGGGCAAAUCAUGAGUGUUGUAUGCCUGUUCCCUCAGUAACUCACUCGUUGUGUAUACAAUUGGACAGGCAUGUCACAUGGUGCCUGUAGUUGUGAUGUGCAUGCUAUACCUCCGUGUGAUCGAGAUCGAUCCAUAUGAUCGAUGCGCCAUGUGUGCAGUGGCAGCUGACACCCGGCGCUACGCAUGCGCAAGGACCGCUGCGAGACCUGAGCAUUUCUUGGGCCGGGCUUUAAAAAGCCGAACCCCACAAAUCUAAGCCUGAGCCAUGCCCGGUCCUGAACAAACGAACACUAUUCUAUUUUUCUCAAUCCUUUUUCCGGUAGUGAAUACUACCUCCCUCCCAGUUUAUUAGACCCCUAGUAUAUUGAGUCAAACUUUGACCAUUGACAUGACUAAUAAAAUAUAGAAUACAUGCUUAAAGUAGUACAAUGUUGGAUUUGUAUUUGAAAGAGCGUUCGGAAGGUAUAAUGUUUGUGACGUAUAGUUUACAUGUUAUUAGUUAAAAUUGUGAGUCAAACUUUAAUCUAAAAUAAGAGGGAGCCUAAUAAACCCGGACGGAGGUAGUAGUACUUAUCUUUCUAUUGAAAUUACGUAAUUUAUUCAUUUUCAAGAUAUAUUAAUACAUUAGUAUGAUUUUUUUAAUGAAACCUUAUUUUUAGUUUUUUAGAACCACAAUAUAGGCCAGAAGCUCACAAUCACUAUAUAUGUGGCAAUUUCCCAAAAGAAAAAACCCAUGUGUGCCAACAUUUUUUAGGAAAGAUAUUUCUUUCCAUUUCAUUAACGAAACCCCCGCAUGUUCUUACAAGAUACAAACUGCUAAAAGAGCCUGGAGGCCUUUAAUUUGAAAAUUUUCAAAAUCCUAUUUUUUUUGUUUCAAAAAAUUCUGAAACAACACACAUGUAUGCAAGGAUGUAAUGUGUAUGUGUGUAAAAAUUCAGUAUGAAAUAUCUUGAUUUACGAGCUGCAAAUAAAUUUAAUGGAGUAUGAGGAUGAAGAAUACAUAUGCUAAAAAGCCCCAGAUUUUUUUCUGUAGCUCUCAUUUAAACCUAUUUCGAUCUGAAAAUUUGCACACAUGUACAUUAUGUGUAUUACGUGAAUUUGUUUUCAGAAUUUAUUGAAACUGAAAUACGGUUAAGUGUACGCAUGAGCCUACAAAAUACGUACAAGGUAUUUGUAAAUGAUAAAAGUACUACAACAAACAACUCAAAACAGGUGUUCGACGUGGACCUCUUUUGUUUUGCAGGAACAUGGGAAUUAUUAAUGUACAGUAAUGCCUUUUACAAUCAUGAUUGAGCAACUCGGCAAAAAACAAAGUGGCCUCAAGCGGCCAAACAUUGGCCUCUACACCCGCUCCUAGCACCAGCAGCUUGUGCAAGUUGGCGAGCUACCCUGUGUCCUCCUCUAUUAACCUGAACCGAAAUUCAGGAAGUUCAGCCGCAGUAUCUCUAACAUCAGGUAGCAGGCGAUAAUACUACACGCACACGGAAAGAAUCGACAGACUUUCACGGAAUCCACCUCACCUAACCAAAUCCUAGCCAAUCAAUUUCUAACUACACCGUAAUCCCCCUGUAAAUCCCCGUGUGUCUAGCAUUGCUCGAUAGCAGGUGUGCAUGGGCAUGGCGCGACCAUAACUUGAGAGCCUGACUCCACUUGAGGCCAAACUGUUCAUGGCCGCCCAUCCAGUCAUCGGCGUCGCAGACCACGCGGAUUUGUGUUGUAGCAAUCCAUCCGCCUUGCUUGAACACAAAGUUCUGUUGGCAAGCUUCCAGCGCCGUGCGUGUCCUGGAGCAGCGGACGGUAGCAAUUGAAGCACGCGCGUACGUGGGAUACUACCCUACGGUCCUACCCUACUUGCGGGUUGCGGCCUUUUCCUCUUUGAGAAGACGUGCACUCCGACUGCUGCAUCGAUCGUUGUGACUCGUGGGACCCUAUUGGCAUCGCGUGUGCCGCUAUAUAAGCUGGGGUGCUCACACAGCAGCUCCGUCACUCAUCCCACCCUGAUACACUCGUUAACUCGUAACGAACAAGCAGCCAUCGAUGGAGGCUCCACGCAAGCUGUCUCCGCCGCGCUCGUGCUGGUGCUGCUGCUCGCGGCCACGGGGGAGAUGGGAGGCCCGGUGGCGGUGGCGGAGGCUCGGAAGUGCGAGUCGCUGAGCCACAGGUUCGCGGGCCUCUGCCUGCGCGGCCACAACUGCGCCAACGUCUGCAGGACCGAGGGCUUCCCCGGCGGCAAGUGCCGCGGCGCCCGCCGCCGCUGCUUCUGCACCACCCACUGCCGCUAGUAGCCUAGCGGCAUGCAUGCGUGCUGGCACCUUUGUGCGUGUGAUUGUGUCCAUGUCCAUGAAUAAACCUCAGCUUGUCUACUAUCUUGGCAUGCAGGCCGAGCUGGGUAUAAGAAACAACUUCUUCUUGUGUCCGUUCCAUGUUUGGGUUCGUCCUCAAAGUUGCAGUGAGGUUCGAUGUGUUCCUUUCACGUGUGUUGUGUUGUGUGCGUGUAAGCGUGUUCCCUCAGUCACUCAUUUGCUCCGUACACGGAACGACGUGCAUGUCGCAUGCUACUUCCGUCUAUGCUUUUUUGUUUGUUUGAGAAAAGUGUGAUCGAGGCAUGUGUGCAGCAAGGAACACGACAGCUGACACCGAGUAAAUUGCACAGAAGUACCACAAUUGGGACAUUAGAAGCAGAUUGAUAAUUUUUACGUGUCAGUAUCAACUUUGGGGCGGGCGAGGCGUUGCAAAAAAGACUAAAACUGCAGUUUAUACGUAUUGACAGGGAAUCUGACUGAUUGGGCCCGCCUGUCAGGUGCUGACGUGGCAAGUUUUUUGCAGAAAACUCCCUUGGUUUGUGAGUAAUCAUGUAAAUGCCCAAUUAUUUCGGGAAAAAAGGCUCCUAUGAGAGGCUUUUUUCCGUUCGUAAUUUCCACCACGGAUUCGGACUCGUUUGCAAAUUUGCGUCGGUUUGAACAAGUAAAUAAAACGAACANNNNNNNNNNNNNNNNNNNNNNNNNNNNNNNNNNNNNNNNNNNNNNNNNNNNNNNNNNNNNNNNNNNNNNNNNNNNNNNNNNNNNNNNNNNNNNNNNNNNNNNNNNNNNNNNNNNNNNNNNNNNNNNNNNNNNNNNNNNNNNNNNNNNNNNNNNNNNNNNNNNNNNNNNNNGGCGUUGCAAAAAAGACUAAAACUGCAGUUUAUACGUAUUGACAAGGAAUCUGACUGAUUGGGACCGCCUGUCAGGUGCUGACGUGGCAAGUUUUUUGCAGAAAACUCCCUUGGUUUGUGAGUAAUCAUGUAAAUGCCGAAUUAUUUCGGGGAAAAAGGCUCCUAUGAGAGGCUUUUUUCCGUUCGUAAUUUUCACCACGGAUUCGGACUCGUUUGCAAAUUUGCGUCGGUUUGAACAAGUAAAUAAAACGAACAAAAAAACAAUCCCGUGCAGGAUUCGAACCGGGGACCUGCGGUACAGCAGAGCAGCGGGCUAGCCACCGCGCCAUGGCUGCGCUCGCGUCAAGAAGCAGGCAGAACGGUUUUUAUACUAGACAUGGGCAGGCUGGGCCGGCCCACCGAGGCCUGCAUUGUUUUUUCCUUUCGCACUUACCUGGCGUAUUGGGGCUCAUUCGUUGCCCAGAUUUCUUUACGUUUCAUUUCUCUUACUUAUUAUGCUUUAUUUUUUAUUCUGGUUUUGGUUUAUUUUUAGGUUUUUCUUUCUUAUUUUUUCAUUCGCUAGGUUGGUUUAUCUCCUGGAUUUUUAACAUAUUUACUGAACAUUUUUUAUGAUGGGUUUUAGUAUAUGAUGAACAGUGAACAUUUAUUUCAUGUAAUGAACUUUUGGUAAUAUACAUUGAACAUGUUUUCAAUGCCAAUUUAAUAUUUUCCUAAUAUAUGUUGAAUUUGUUUCUUAAGAUAUGAUGACAUUUUGCAUAAUGCGCGGUGAAAUUUUCGUAAUUUAUGGUGAACAUUUUCUUAAUACACGAUGAGUUUCAAGAAUAUUAUGAUUACACAAUUUCUUAAUUUAUAGUAAACAUUUUUAAUACACGAUGAACUUUUCUUACAAACAGUGAACACUUUUCUAAUAAUAUGAACGUUGAACAUAAUUUGAAUGCAAAUGGAAUAUUUUUGUAAUAUAUGUUGAAAUAUUUUCUUAAGAUAUGAUGAAAAGUUUACUUAAUGCACGGUGAUUUUUUUAUAAUUUAUUGUGAGCAUUUUCUUAAUACACGAUGACUUUCAAGAGCAUUAUGGUGAACAUUUUCUUAAUACAUGGUGAAUUAUUUGCAUUUCAAGAAAUGUUCAACAUGGGUUAAAAACUUAUUGUGUAAAUCAUUCUUGCAUUUCAAGAAACACGUCGAUUUUUUUAAUAAAAUUUGAACACUUUUAGUGCAUUUUGGAGAUUUAUUAUGAUUACAAAUUUAUAUUUAAUACAUGUUGUCAACUUUCUAAUUAACUGUGCAUUUAAAAAAAUAAAAUAUAUAUGUAUUAAUAUCAUGAAUAACAAAUAUAUAUGGGCCGUGCCUGUGUUCUAGUCUGGUGCUUGACACUUAAUAAUACUAAUAUGUAAUCGCAAAAUAUAUAUGUAUUAAUAUCAUGAUUAAAAAAAACAGUAACCCAGCGCGCAGCCACGCUGGGCCAAUCGCCGGCCCAACGUCUUCAGCAUCUACUAUCUACUAUCUAUCUAUCUACUACCCCUAUAAAAAGAAGAGAGGGGCAGAUCCAAACAAUCUCAUCCAUCCAUCAGCAAAAUUCAAUGACUUAAUCCUUCGGUGUUUAACGCUGCAAACCACGCAUUAAGCCACUAACAAGCCAUCGAUCGAUAACCCAGCCCCGCAGUUAAUCACACGACUCUCGCCCCUGCCCGCACCUCCCUCUUCGCACGACUCUCACCCCUGCGCGCACGACCUCCACCUCCUCCUCCCGCGCCGUUCGCCGCCCCGCAAACUCCGGCAGCCGUUAACCGCCCUUCGCCGCGGGAGCAGCCGCUCGCCACUGCAGCCGCCGCCCGCGGGAGAAGCCGCGGGAGCCGCUCGCCGCUCGCCGCGGGUCGCCCUUUGCCAUGGUCGCCGCCGGAGCCGCCCCGCCCCUGGAUCCGCUCGCCGUUGGUCCCCGCCGGAGCUGCCCCGCCCCUCCCCGGCGCUCCAACCCCAACUCCCCGACUCUCCAUCCUCCCCGCUUCUCAUCACCACCGCCGCACUCCCCGAAGCCCAUCUCUCUCCAGCCUUCCUGCCCGCAUGCAGCCCUCGCCCUCGGCACCGCACGGGCCAGGCCCUCUCUCCUCGGUUAUGGCCACCAUGGAGAACCUGACCCGUAGGGCAUACCCUCCUCCUCUGAUGCGUAACACCCAUCCCUGCCCCGGCGGCUGGGAUCAUGUCCGCCAUCAUGAGCAGGUGCUCCGCAUCCGAGUGCACCGACUCAGAGGUAGAGGUUGGGCUGUAGUUCUUGGACGCCAAGGAAGAACGCAAGUUGUUGCCGCCGCCGAAGAUGAAAACUGGUGGUAACUGGUAAGCCUCUGCAAGCCCCCACCUAGCCUCCCGCCUCUUAGUUCUUCUCCUUUUUUACUCUAGAUGGAUGAUGUCUGAUCUUGUUCACUUAGUCUCCAAUGCGUGAGGAAGAAAAACAGUCACCUCUAACGUCGAUCAGCAGAGCCCAUGUCUUUUGCAUGUAAAGAGACUCUGAGUUAGUGGUUUUCUAUUUACUACAUGCAUACAUCCAAGAACGACUCUACUGAAAAGUAUUAGAAAUUAUUUACAAAUAGCUUUAAGCAAGAAAUGCAACGAGAUGAUUACAUUACAAUGCUCUUUUCUCUCUUCGUUACUACAACCUUGAUGAUGCUUGGGUGAUUCAACUGAAUAGUUGAUGGAUUAAAAUUCAUAUUACAAUGUGGAAAAUGUAGCAGUUUCAGAUUACAAGAUUCAUGUUGCCGUUGUAUAUAAAGGGAGAAUUAAUGUAGUUGCUCUGUAGGAAGCAUGUAGUUUCUCUGUAGGACUCCUGGUGUGCUGCUGGAAUAAACUGGAGGUACAUGUUUUUGUAAUUUUUUGUUGAUAGCUUACCAAGCUGACCACUUGGUAGAGGUACAUGUUGAUUUGUUCUCUUUCAGGUGAUGGAACUCUAUCCUACGCGCAUAGCAGUGAUGGAACAUAGCGUACUUUCACCCUUUUUUCCAGAUCGAGAUGGUGGAGGCAGCCAGUGUCGUGGCCGAGCGCUGGGGAGCUUGUCGGUGUUUUGAUGGAGAAGGCCGGCCGCCUCCUCUCCCUACCAAGUCUUUUUGGCCCAUAGAUCGAGUUCAUGGUUGAUAAGGAAGGUGUGGUCGAUUUCACCAGGCUGGGUCCGAAGGUCCCGAAGUCCUAUGGCAUGAACUGGCCACGGCGCAUCCGGCUGGAUGCACUUGCUCAACACCUUUCCAUCUCUGUACAAUCAGGUAGAUAUUUUCUCACGUGCCAAAUAUUAUUUUUAGGUUGCCAAAUAGUAGUCUAGGAACUAUAGAAAGUGGAUUGCUGAGUUUGCCAAGCAUAAUAGCACACCUAUUAUCAGAUGACCUGAAGAGUAUAUCAAGCAAAGAUGCUUUCAGAUUUAUGCAUGCCUAUAUUAGGUUCCUACUUGUGUGAAGAUAACACUUUGCAUCAGGCUUGUGAGCAACCGUAAGUUGUUUUGCAUGUGAUACUACUUGUGUGAUUAUUUUUACCUUCGGAAAAUUUCCUUCUUAUUAUAUAUCAUAUGGAAUUCUUCAACCAGAGGAGAGCAACUCAAUGAGUUUGCAUACAUUCAGCCAUCUAUGUUGAUGCAACUCAACUAACAAAGAGUAUUUAAGAAAAGACUGCAGUUUGUAAAGCCAGUGGACAAAUUAGUUCUGCACAGUCCGGCAUUAGCGGCGUGCAUGCAGUAAUUCAUCAAUGUUGGGGGUCAGUGCUAUGAACAUCAAGCUUCACCUUUACCAGUGGCAUUAAUUUGUUGUUUUUGUUUUAUAUCAAAUAAUUUACCAUUCUUCAGUUUUGCAUAUCAUAUUUUGGUUCUGAAUUUGUAUUUGGAUAUUUCUGCAACCUUAUUUCUAACAUGCCUUCAACUACUGUUUAUCGCACAAAAAGUCGAAAAAUGUGGAAUAGAGAACUAUUACGGGUAAUACGAAUUGUUUUCUCAUGCAGACUACAAAUUCUCUGUAAUUCACGUGGUUUUGGAAUUUGUUUAAUGUGCAAAAUAUGUACAAGGCUUGUGAGCGGCCAUUUUUAGCCAAGUACUUGUAUAAGUUCUCUUGUAACUUAGCUAUCAGCUUAUUACGAAAGGCUUUGAGGAUUCUUAAUCUAAACUAAAUUUUUAUACCUGUAGUAAUCUUCUGUUAUGAUUUAAUAUUGCACCACGUUAGUCUUGCAUCACGUUAGACCCUGGGUUUGUACUUGCUGCAAAUGCUGUAGGAACUCAACGGCUGUACUUGCUGAAAAUUUCAAUUGAUCAACAUGGGAGUAGUGGUCUCAUGAUCUAAGACUAAGAGUAGAUUUAUUUAUUCUGUUCUAAUAUGUUUAAGAGGGGGAUGAGAAAGUUUCUGCUUAGGUUUGCGUUGCAAGUGAAAGCUUAGUUUAGUAGCAAGGUUAUAACGUGCGUUGCACGUGCAAACUUACUAGUAGUAUAAAGAAGUUCUCGCCUCUUUUACUUCGCGAGGGCAGCCGUGGCGGGGUGGCUAGCCUGCUGCUCUGCUGUACCUCAGGUCGCCGGUUCGAUUCCUGCGCGGGAUUCAGGAUUUGUUCCUUUUAUUUACUUGUUCAAACCGACGCAAAUUUGCAAACGAGUCCGAAUCCGUGGUGGAAAUUACGAACGGAAAAAAAGCCUCUCGUAGGAGCCUCUUUCUCCGAAAUAAUUGGGCAUUUACAUGAUUACACACAAACGGAGGGAGUUUCCUGCAAAAAAUUUGCCACGUCAGCACCCGACAGGCGGGCCCAACCUGUCAGAUUCCCUGUCAAUACGUAUAAACUGCAGUUUUAGUCUUUUUUGCAACGCCUCGCCCAAAGUUGGUACUGACACGUAAAAAUUACCAAUCUUGAUACCAAUCUGUUUCCAAUGCCUCAAUUGUGAUACUUUUGUGCAAUUUACUCGCUGACACCCGUCGCUGCUCAUGCUCAUGCAUGAUGGACUGGCCACGCGUAAAAGGUCCCGGCCUCUAGGAGUGCGAAGUUAUGGUGCUCGGGCAGUCGGGCACCAUGAUGCCCUUUAUUUUCAUUUUUUUAAAACACACACACGCACGCGCGCGUGCGCGCGCGCACACACACAUAUAGAAGUAAAAAAACAAAAAAAACAAAAUCUGUGGAAACAUGUUAUAUGUGCACUGCGGAUCCAUGAAAUUUUGUUUCCAAAAAAAUGUAUUGUGUAAGCUGUACAAAAAAAGAUUCUGUCCCAAAAGCAAAAAGAGGCCCAUUUGAAAAAUACAUAUUUGUCUUUUCUUUGUACGCCUCAUGUGAAAGUAAGAUGUUAUGAAAUUUUGCACAUACAUAGUAUACAUGUGAGUGUGUUUACAAAAAAUUCCAAUCUUUUUUCCCUAUAGAAAAUGUUUUUUCGCGACCUCUAGCAGGUUCAAAGCUGCUUCCUAUUCAGCGCUUCACCCGCGCUGGUUAAAGGCGUCCACGUACGUAAACCAACUGGGCCGGCCUGUAAUGCAUUGAAACAUUCCUGAUUUUUGUGCAGCUUUGUGGUCACUUCUAGGAAGCUUCUAGAAGCAUCAAACCAUUUUUGGGAAGCUUUUGACCGAUGUUUUCUUUGCCUGUUUUUUAAUUUUCAUUUUUCGUUUUUCUUUUUCUUUAUUUAUUAUUUUGUAUUUAACUUUUUUAAAUUCACAAACCUUUUUAAUAUUCAUGCACUUUUUAAAAUCUGUGAAUAUUUUUUAAAUUUAUAUUUUUAUAUAAAUUCGUGAACAUAUUUAAAAUCCAUAAACAUCUUGAAAUUCAUGAACUUUUCCAAAUCCGAAUUAUUUUUCAAAUCAUUGUUUUUAUUUCAAAUUUGUGUUUUUUUUAAUUCAUGAACUAUUUUCCAAUCCAUGAUUUUUAUUCAAAUUCACAAAAAGAAACUCUGUUUGUUCCAAAAGUCAACGGUCUACAGGCCGACCAGGUCAACCAUGAAGAGCGACUAGGCGCGUGAGCUUGAUGAGCGAGCUGCUCGCUCGCAUAGCUAGCCCUGCCUACACAGGGGGGCGAGUGAGCGCUGCCUAGCUACCAGGCGCAGUGAGCGCUAACUAGGAGCUGCCACAGCAAAAAGCAUAGCUGGCUUCCCUCUUAAUGACAAAUUUGCACAAAAUGGACCUUUUGAAGAAAUCUAAGCCCAAGAGGCCCCUAAUUCACCUAUGGACCCCCUCCAGUGGAUGAUUGCGGUUCAUAUAUUAACAUGGUCAGUAUUAUCACGAUUUUACCUGCUACUUAUGUCCGACGAUCAAAAUUGGUCCAUAUAUCGUCACAUAUAUAUAAGUAAACUAAAUAGUUGCUCGUGCCACUAGUGGAAAAAGGCUCAUUUGUCCCGGUUCUGGAACCGGGACUAAAGGGUCGAGACUAAAGCUCAAACCUUUAGUCCCGGUUUGCUUAUGAACCGGGAGUAAAGAAGCUCCACGUGGCCGCUGUCUGGAGCUCCACCUUUACCAACCAGGACUAAAGAAUUUUUUUUAAAAAAUUUAUUUUUCUGAAUUUUGUUGAAUUUUUUUUGAUUUUUUUCUUAUUUUCAAAUUUCUGAAUUAUUUGACAAUUUAAUCUCUAAUCAUCCCUCAUCACUGCUCACUGCUCAAUUAUAAACCACUCAUUUCAAAUCGUCUAACUUCCCAGCAAGUCACGCAUCUUCUCACUACUCCAUCCUGAGCAUGCUUAACUUUCGAGUUCUAUUCCCCCUAGUUUUCAAGUGCUUUUCCUGACAAUACUAAGCUGUCAAUCCUAUUAACACUUAGGAGUUGAACUUGAGCAUUAAGCACCGUUUGAGUUUGAAACUAUUAUUCUAAAAAAACAAUUAUUAUUUAGUAACACUAAUAUUUCUUGAAUAAGUAGUUUGACCAUAGUUUGACCAGAUUUGACCAUAGUUUGACCACAAUUUGACCAAAAGUCAAAAAAGAAAAAAUAAUUAUUUAUUAACACUAAUAUUUCUUGAAUAAGUAGUUUGGCCACAGUUUAAUCAGAUUUAAUGGAAAGUCAAAAAAACUGAAAUUUGAGCAUAUUUGUUUUCUUUCAGAAUUUCAGGAUUCUAAAAAUUUGCAAACAGGUCUACGGCUGUCAAAAUCGAAUGUGGAUUUUCGUGCUUUUUUUUGAUAUAUUAUGCGUUUUUUCGACAUCGUAUGCAAAAGAUAUGACCGUUUUACUUUUUCAUAACACUUUUUUUGCAAAAUAUGUCCAAAUUUAAGCUUUUUAAUUUUCCUAACUAGUAGAUGUAAUAACAUAACUACAUCUCGAAGGAUUUAAUUUUUUAAGUUUUUAUCAUUUUCUUUUGGAUUUUAAAAGACUGAAAAGGCGAUACACGGGGGGUAGAGUUUGAAUCUUUAGUCCCAGUUUACGACACGAACCGGGACUAAAGAGUGCGAUGCCCUUUAGUCCCGGUUCGUGUCUCAAACCGGGACUAAAGGUCCCAUUUGAACCGGGACUAAUGUCUUCUCGACGCCUUAGCCGCUUGAACCGGGACUAAUGCUCAUAUUAGUUUCGGUUCGUGAUGCAACCGGGACUAAAGUGUACAUUGAGCUGUGACCAAAGCCCUGUUUUCUACUAGUGUGCAUUGUAAUGGGGCACACUAUUUUCUACCCAAACAUUGUGAUUUAUCGUACAUUUUGUUGUUAUAUGAUAAUUACAUACUAAAUGUCGCAACUGAAUAAGUACUUAUUGAUUUACCAAAGAAAACAUGAUUCUAUUAGUUAAAUCAAUAAGGCGUGGACCAGUUGAGGUGGUUCAAAAGAGAAUCGAUGAGAUAUUUUUAAUAAAACCUUGUGUUCAUUUUAAGUAGGAUAGAUGUUGCCGCAUUUUUCUAAAUCAUUGGGUUUAGAUUAGGGGGGUGGGUGCAAAUCAAGCGUGUGGCAACUCUAACGAGCUUGCAAAACUGGUUGUAUGUGCAAUCUUAUUAUAGCAAUCAAAUAUAUCUAAAUGCAUCUUUUUUUUUGAGGAGGUACGCAAAUUGUGCACCUUAGCUUUAUAGAAGGAGAGAAAUAAGACAUACAACAACGUCUACCAUUCGCUGCGGAGAACGAAGGCGACCAACUCCACACCCGGUUCGAACAAGGACAACCAAACACAACAACCUACCCAACACCGAGCCCCUCGCCGCGUCUCGACCGACACUGAAGACCUCCGAAGAACAGCAACUCCAGCUUCCUUGGAGUAGCCAGCGACGACCGUACAUGGCGCCGAAGGAGAAAGAUCCGGGUAGCGGUGAACACCGGAGGAGCGCAUCAUGGGACCUCGAGUCUCCCAGCAUAAUGCUCCCAACAGAGUAACAACCUCAAAGACGUUGCCAUCAUGCCGAUCCUACGAAUCAAGGCUUUCACCCCGGAGACAGCUGACGAAAUGAGGUCGCGAGGAAGAUGGCGUUGCACUCGGCGAAGCCUCCAAGAAGGGGAAUGACACCCGCAGGCGCCAUCAACGCCGGUCCGGCCACAACCGAACAGGAUUUUCAUCCGUAGCUCUGCACAUCUCCGAGUCUCCAAGAUCCCGACCAGCCCCGAUCAGAUGCCUCGCACCGCCGUCACCACAACAACUUGCCAUCGAAGCCCCCCCUCACUGCCGAGGGGACACGCCUAAAGCCAUAGCCUUCAACAUCGACUAGGAGCUGCAGCAUCCACCGAGUGGUGCAAAGCCAUUUCCGCCACAGUGGCCUUCACCCAUCCCAGGGGACUGCCACCAGAAUGGAUCCGACCCGCACCUCCGACCAUCCUCCAGCACGCACACCGCCGAGGCAUCGCCGCACGCCUCACAAGGUAGCAACCGAACGCCCGCUGCCCGCCAAGACCCUUCCUGGCAAGGCCUCGCAGCGCCGCCGCCGCCAUGGCUGCGCUCGCACCGCCGCCACCGCCAGUGCCGGUGCACCACCUGCAUCCUCCAUCCUGCUACGUUCCACGCAAGGAUCCAGCGAUAACCGCCGCACCCCAUGUCGUGAGAACCUCAAGGACGCCGGCCAGUGCCAAAAACGCACCAGAUCUGGCCCGAGAUCCUCGGGUCCGCACGGAUCGGCCCGCUCGGAACUGGCCAGGCACGAACUCCCCCGCGGCGAGGAGCACCAACCCGCAGCCGUCCUGCGCACUCCACCGCGACGCGCCGCCACCAGACCGCCGCGACGCCCCACACCACCUCCGGCCAGCGCGCAUCUCCGCCGCGUCGGCCACCGAGAUUCGACGCCAGGCUGAAGAAGUGGUCCCGCCGGCCUGCGCACGCGACGCGCCGCUGCCAGACCGCCGCGACGCCCCGCACCACCUCCCGCCAGCGCGCAUCCACCCGCCACGCCAGCCACCGAGAUCCGCCGCCAGGCCGAAGAAGCGGUCCCCCGCGACCACCGCUCCAGGUGAGGGCAAGAUGAAUCCCGCCGCCGCCGGCACCACACGGGCUUUGUCCGACGGCGACCGCCGCCGGCGGCGGCGGCGGCGGGGAGGGGGAAAGGGAGGGAGGCUGGGGUCGGCGGCGGGGUUAGGGCACCCGAGUCGCCCGCGGGGGGGCGACGCGGGGCAGUUAUAUCUACAUGCAUCUAGCUGUCACCAAACCAAACACUCGCUUUUUGCCUAUGUGUUCCACCCCUCAAAUUUUACUAUGCCAUGCACGACUCAAUAUUUUUCUUUGACUUUUUUUUGCUGUGAUACAUAAUAAUGAUCACAAAAAUUAGCUUUGACUACAGUGGAUUUUCACUAAAUAAGAUUGAGAGAGUGAAAAAUCACUCCCUCCUAUUCCUAUAUGUCCAAUCCUCACAUAUGCAACGAAUAUAGAUCGACCUAAGUAUCAGAGCCAACAACCAAGCUUUCCGAACUAAAACAAUUGAAGGAGCGUAAACAUCAAGAACCAUCAUCACCCAAAAACAAAUGAAACCUUCUCACAGGGCCCCCACGUCGCUCUCUCCCCGGGGCGGCACGGGCGGCGACCACCGCCCCUCUCGCGGCCUCCCCAACUCCAGCCUCUUCUCCCCCUCGCCGUCGCCGGUGGCCUCCGGCAGGCAAAGCCUGCGCGGAGCCACCGGCGACGGGGCGCUCUCUGUAGCUGCUGCUCGCUCGGGAGGAGGGGCGCUCGCAUGCGGGUCGCGGCUGUCCGGCGCUCGGCCUCGUGGCGGCAUUGCUGCUCGCGGCGGAGGCAGUCUCCGGCAUAUGGCGCGGCGUCUGGUCGCGGCGGUGGGCGCGCCGUCGCGGUGCGCGCGGUCACGGUCGUCGGCCUCGUGCGGUCCCGAUCCGAUCUGGGAUCCUGCUGGCGGCGGUUGGCGCGGACGGUGUGUGGCGCCGGGGCGGCGGCCUCGGUCCGAGCUCCUGAUGUGGCCGGGGCGUGGACGGCGCGCGCUCGCGUGGUGGUGGCUCGGUUCUGGCUGUGCGUGUGGGGCGCAGCGACCAGUCGGGCGUGGUGGCUGCAGGUGCGUGUCGGGCGCAGUGACCGGCGGUGCGUGACGGGUGUGCUUCUCUGGAGUGCGAGGUGUGCUGCGGAGGGGAUCCUGCUCGUCUGCUCUACUGCUUUGCAUGUGCAACUCCGAUUGCAUAUGGUGCGAGGUGCAUCGAUCUGGGUGCUGCGCUUCGCGAUGCGGCGUGGGUUGAUGCGGUGGUGGUGGCCACGGUGGUGCUGCGGUGGUGGACGGCGGCUUCGGCCAGGGGGUGGUGCAUGUCAUGUCGCGGUGGAUCAUGGGAUCCCGUGGCCUGAAUGAGGUCGGCCUCAGUAGGUGGUGGCUGGUGGGCGGUGGUCGGUGGUGGUAGGUGGUCGGCGCAUCUCCAGGAGAAAUCUUUGCUUCAGCCUUCUUCGGAGAUGGCGACGGCGGCGCCCGCGGGUGCAGUGAUCUUUCUUGGAAGCGUUGUCGUGGAGGUGUGCUCCUCCUCCCCACGGAUUUGGCUCCGGAGGGAAACCUCAGAUCCGCUGGGUCGGGCGAUGAAGGCGUCUUCGCGUCUUUCUCCUCCUUGGGCGCAUCGUCUCGGAGCCGGCUACGACUGGGAGACUGGUGGAUUGCGGCAUCUUCGCCGUGGAUGGCGGCAUCUUCGCCGCGUGGUCUGCUGAGGCGGGGCACUGGUUUCUGUUUGGCAACGAUGAUGGCGUCAAGAGGAGGUCGGGUCGCGGCGUGGACUUCGGUAGUCGGUUCUUCCCGGCGUGUCCGAGGUGCUCUUCUGUGGGCACGGUCGGCGCAAGUCUUGCAUAUUUCCCUAGUGAGGCUCGUCGUCAAAGUCGGAGCUGUCAGUUGCUUGCGCGUGUGGCCAUCCGGUGGCAUGUGCCGUCGUGGCUUCUAUACAGCUGUUUGCAGGUUGGCUUUGAGGUUGGAGCUCUAUGGUGAAGUCGGAGUCGCUCGUUCGAGGCAAUCGGUGAUGACGAUGACGCUUGCGACUCCUCGGCGAAUGCCAUUCUUCUUUGCAGCUUUGUGUUCCAUGUCGGUGGCCUGGUUGGCCGGUGAUGCCCAUGUCAGGUGGGUUGAGUUGUAUCGGUUUUAGCCCGGUUUUUCGCAAAUUAACCGGGCAAUUCUCUCUUCUUCUUAAUCAAUGAAAAUGGCAAAUCUUUUGCCUCGUUUCAAAAAAAAAAAACAACAACAAAUGAAGCAAGACUAAAACUAUAAAUUCAAGAACUUGUAGGGGUCACAUGGACCGCUGGAAAAAAUUUGUACCUUGAGAGCUGUGAUAUUUUUAAAACAAGAUCAGCCAGGAAUAGCUCUUAGCAACAUAUUUUUAUAGAAGAAAAUCUCUAAGCAUCCGGCAGAGUAUACCGCUUUAGCAUAUGUACAAAUCUACAAAACACACAAUAGGUGGUAUUUAAAAUUAAAAUGUAUGGAAAUAAAUGGUCAAAGUGUAGCACGCAUCUCAAAGCUCGCCCCGACGCUGGAUUCUUUGGUGUUGCCUACCGGGUGGGCACCCUAGAAAAAUCGUGUUCGUGUCCACCGGCCGAAUCGAUGCGUUUAUGAUCAACCGCUCGCCGCUCCCUACCCUUGCUAGCUCACGGCAAUCCGGUCGUCGUCGUCGUCACAGACCACGUGAGUUUUCUUGUAGUAAUCCAUGGCGUCGCCGGAUCGACCUUUGGCUCUUUCCACAUACUACCUACCUAAUUGCGGCACAUAUUUGUCGCCUUUUUCAUUUGGAUGCAACUGCAUCGCGUUCGGUUUGACCCAUGGCUUCGGCAGCUUGUGCGCGCCGCUACAUUAUAAGCAGGUGCGCUCACACAACUAGCAGCUCCAUCACUCCACCACCACCCUGAUACACUCAUAACAAGCAGUGAUCGGUCGAUGGAGGCUUCACGCAAGCUCCUCUCGGCGGCGCUCCUCCUGGUGCUGCUGCUGGCGGGCACAGGGGAGAUGGGAGGCCCGGUGGCGGUGGCGGAGGCGCGGACGUGCGAGGCGAAGAGCCACAGGUUCAGGGGCCCCUGCGUGCGCCACCACAACUGCGCCAACGUCUGCAAGACCGAGGGCUUCCCCGGCGGCAAGUGCCGCGGCUUCCGCCAUCGCUGCUUCUGCACCACCCACUGCCGGCAGUAACCAACCUAUUGCCUCUACUUCGUACGUCCGCCUAGCUGCAGCCUGCCUGCGUGCAUCCUGGCUUGCUCGCACCUCUGUGCGUCUAUAGUAGUUAGCACUGUGUCCAUGAAUAAACCUCGGCCUGUCUGUCAUGGCAUGCUGAAAUGGGUAUAAGAAACGCAGGCUCUCUUUUACUCUAUAUUAACUAGAAGAACGCCCGUGCGUUGCAACGGGGCCACAUUAAUUUUAAGAAUUCAAUAUUACGACAUUGAUGAUCUUUUUUACCAUCAAAUCCUCACACACACAGACACACACUCUCCCUCCCUCUUCCUCACUCUCUAUCCCCCUCUCCCUCUCUCUCUAACACACACACAUAUCUAUCUUAUUGGGUACGGGACCAUAAUCCAUCUAUUUCACAGAUACACGCUACUGCAUAACAAUAUGGAUUAUGUGUAUUAUAUUUGCCACCAGAACCGAGGAAAUUAAUUUCAUGUAAAUCGACCAACCACAGCUCCAAGAAUACGCGGACGAGGUGGCUCGGAUCGGUGUCGGCGCCGUCCAGCGCGGACCACGGACCCGCUACCAAGUGCACGUACAAUGCACGUCUUCACAAAUAUUAUAACCAGAUGUGAGAAAUCACAUGCAUAGAAAAGACAUUCUGAUAGCAAUCCAAAUACCAUACUCAAUUGAAUACCUAACCUGGACAAUACUCUUAUUUCUAUGCGCCAAAAAAAAUGGAAUAGCAAAGCUAAGUAUGCCUACAUACGCUCAGAUUAUAUAUAAGAAUCUUGGGUGAACAAUUGCAACAAAGCACUAAGCAGCGAUAAAUCUAAAUAACAAAUCCAUUAACUAUGCAGGCAGCAGGCUUGUUACAACAUAGAGAGAUAGGAAAAUGUCACCUCCAGUAAUGUAGCGCAAAGGAGUGGAACGAAGCAUGAAUGAGCGGUUGUCUGUUCUUCUCCAUGUACAUGGAUCAGUAGUAGAGGCCAAGUAUAUAAGUACUUGACUGAACUCCACUCUUCGUGUACGGAGAGCCAUGUCACCUUCUCACCGCUGCAGCAUGGGAGGACGGCUGGUUCACGUGACCCUCCAGCUGGGGGAUCCAUGGUGUCUGACCGUCGAGCUCGAGGCAGAGAAGUUGAGGGCAGCAGUGGCGAGAUCCAUGCCGGCCAACCGGGCGAAGAGGAGGUCGUCGGGGAGGGACACAUCGGCAAGAUCCGGUCACCACGCGACCUGAAGAGCAACAGUGAUCUCCACAAGCUGUAGUCCGACGGCGUGCUCCAUCCCCUGCGAUGGGGUGACCAUGGCGGUGGCCACAGCUCCUCAUGCUCGCCUCGAUCUCGGCGACACACCCUAAGUGUAGGAGGCAGCAACGACCUCGACGAAAUCAUGGCCUCCAUCCCGGAACGCAUGAAGGACCUCGGCCCUAUCGCUACUCCUCCCGCCGUAGCCGCACGCGGCAGCGGACCGUGGGUAGGAGGCCAGGCGGCGUCGCCUCGGCUGACGGCAGGGAGCAGCGUUGAUUUCGGGUAGGUGGCAUCGCGAGGACGGCCGCGGCCGCGGGGAGGCACCCCGAUCAUGCUGCCAGGCCAAUCCUUCUCCUCCGACCCCCUAUCCCCGAAGAUUGCGCCGCCGCCCCGGUCGUGUUGUUUUCAUAUGCCAUUUUUUCCUGUACCUAAACAAAAGCGGGCGAGCGGAUGGCAGAGUUUUGGUCCGCCCUCUAAAAUUGCUAAACACACUUUUGGUGAGGAUUAUUGUUAAUAAAUGAAUUCAAUCAUGUCGCUCUAAAUAAAUGAAUUCAAUCAUGUGACUCUAAUUACUUCGGAUUGUUAUGUGCACACUAAGCGGGGUGUAGUUAGGAAAGAAAAUGUUUUCUAAUUAAAGUGAUUGAGUGAUUUAAGGUAAGGUUAAUUAAUUUAGAUUUGAUUUUUAGUGAUUGUUAGUAAAGUAUGAUGGGUCUUUAAAAUCUUUUAUUUGUUUCCUUAAAAUCUAUUAUUUGUUUCCUAUAGAAAUUUGCAAUAAUGGAAGGUAUCGGUUGAUUUGGAUAAGUUAGUAAAUUUAGAUCCGUGAGUGCGUGCACAUUUGGAAAGUGCUGAUUUACAAGGAAAGAGCUGAGGGGUAAAUAAACCGGUGAAUAAGAAAUCAGCAUCGAAAAAAAUCUACGACGGUUAACCUACGGAAAAACACCGGACGAAAGUGGUGGGACGAAAAAAAACCUGGAAGCAAGACUACCAACUGCUCCAUUAGGAGUAGAGAUAAUGGAUCUGUCUAGGUCUCAGUCGAAGUCUAAGUCGAUUGAUGACAUCAGCAUGCAGACUUGUUUUAUUUCUGUAAUUGUUUGUAUGUUUUUGGCGUUAUGGGCUGCCUUUGUAUUUUUAGUGGGCUUUUGUCACCUUUUCCACUGUGAGCAAUGCUUUGUUGCCAGAUUUUCCCCUCUUCCUUGUGCUUGGGCUGUACGACCACACAUAUAUGUGUGUUUUGCUAUGCAGCUACAAACUUAACAAUUAUGAAUAAAAAACUACAACCUCAAGUCCUCAACGAGUGAGGCAGCUUUUUUGUGUGUUCAAAUCAUUGCAUUUGUUUUUGUCAGAAAAAUCCUUGUAUAUGCAGUACGGUGCUUGUAGUUUUUUUAGAUGGGCAUGCAACUUAUUGUCAUUUUUCAUUCAAGGAGAAUACAAGGAUUUGAACACAAGCAAAUAUAUUCACAAGAAUAAUAAUGUGAUGCGCGCACAAGCAAUGGAUAAAAAUAAAUAAAAUGAAGAUAAAAAUUAAUAAAAGACACCAAUCGAGCACCCUCCCGCCCACGCGUGCCUUCUAGUUGCGUGCUUAUAUCACCUGUGGUUGCAUGCGGUGUGAAGUAUAUGUAGUUGCAUGCGCAACAGUAGGUUGCACGUUUGCAGUAUCAAAUUUUAGAAAACAAUAUAAAACAAAAAAUAAAAGAAGAAAAAACAUCACUAAAUAUCAGUUGAGUUUUGAAGUUACAGUCAAGGGCGAUUGUGCAACCAGAUGACAAUAUACUAAAAACUUAUUCUUUAAUAUAAAUUAAAAAUCAAAAAGUAGCAAGAAUCUUACAAUUAGAAAAGAAAAAGGAUAAACAGAAAAAAUAUUAAAACAUGAAAAAUGGUUGCAUUUGUAUCUGCACCCUGCCCACGACAAAAACCGACAUAGAGUUGUAGUCGCGGCAACACUUACAGUUGCAUGCCUAGUGACAAACAUGCAACCGCCCCUCCCUAAAAAACGCCGUAGAGAUGUAGUCGGGGCGAUCUUGGAGGGGCCCCGGAUCGCCGAGCAUCUCGUCGCCGGCGACUUCCGUUGUGAAAACCUUCCUUCCUCUCCUGUUUUCACUCUGUGUCUACGCUCUUCUCUCAAUUCAAACAGUGUCGUUGGAUGGCCUCUAGAAAGAUGUUGAGUCUUGGUCCACAUUCCAGAGACUAAAAAAAAGAA